Molecule: RNA transcript, 3374 nt
Organism: Bombina bombina (fire-bellied toad)
Lineage: Eukaryota; Metazoa; Chordata; Amphibia; Anura; Bombinatoridae
Gene name: histone H2B.3
Exons: 2
Source: RefSeq, a predicted model, not a curated record
UAUUCUGUUUUUAAAAUACAGAAUCAAUUAUUUUUGUGGCUAGUAAUAAUACUAUUUUAUGUUAACUGACGUUUCUAGCAAAUAGUUUACUCCUUGCUAAGCUGUUGGCUACUUUAUCUCGUUAUGGGCUGCAACAAUCUGCAGUGUCUCAGCGUGAUACCGCCAUGCGUCGGGGUACAACAGUCUUUAAUUUUUCUUCAUUACAAUGUGCCAUAACGCUUAUUGAAAUUUAAAGUACAGCAUCUAAAUAGUCUUAGAUUGAAAAGGCUUACUUUUGGUCCGGUGUUCUGUCGAGAACUCCAAUUCAGAACACCGGCCCGCCAUGCUGUUGGUGAAUGCCAGCAAGUGGCGCAAUAGAGUUUUGAGUAUGUUCUUCCCUUAACAGACUUUCAGUAGUUCACCACAAAAUUAACAAGGGUUUGUACAGCUAAGAUGCAUGUUUUACGCCUCCUUAGUGUAUAUAGCUACAUCUUUAUCAGUUGCGUGUUUCCUCAUUCCAUGUCUUGUAAAAUGUAACUUCCUAACUUUUAAUAGUAGGAAUAAAUAAUCCAAAAUGGUAGGUGCCAGCAAUACAAUUCUAUCUAAUGGUUGCUGGAAUUUUAAGUCUAGCUUUUAACAUUGAUCAUGGAAAGUCAAGCAAAAUGUGUCAUGACUUUAUAGAAAAAUGUUUAAGCAUAGUUUUGAAAGUCUGUUGGAGGGAAUUAAACAAAAAAAAAAAUACUUUUCUCUUUUUUUUUUUUUAUAGUAUGGUAAUUCUACAAAGCUGUUAGAAAUCUAGAAUGUAGUGAUUGUAAAGUUUAAUGAAUGCUCAGUAUCUAAAAAAUCAUAAACAGGGGCACUUUAAUUUUAAUUCAUUCAACUUUACAAAAGAUGCUUCAUUUAAAAAAAAAAAAAAAAAUACCACUAAGUUAUGGUAAACCUACUGCCGUUCCUCCGCCCAUCAUAGAUGAUCCAUGACUAAUCUGACUUCCUCCAAUCGUUGCGUGCCCCAUCUGGAGUCCAGCUCGUGGACAGGCGAUGAUUGGUGGAAGCCGGAUUCGUCAUUGAUCUGCUAAAAGGUAGGAGAUGCGGGCUGAGGAACGGCAGUAUGUUUACCAUAAUUCAGUGGCAAAUAUCUUAAAAUGAAGCUUCUUUUGUAAAGUUUUUAAUGAAUGAAAGUGCCCCUGUUGAUUAUUUUUAGAUACUGGGCAUUAAUUCAUUAAACCUUACAAUGACUUUAAAGGCACAUUUAACACCUUGAGAUUUUUAUGUGCAAUGAAACAACUUUGCAAUAUGUUUAUCCCCAACCCCCGAUUUUCAUGUAAUAUUGGCUCUGAAAAUUUAGCAAUUUUCUUAUUCACAAGACUUGAAAUGGACCAUGCCGACUUCUGAAGGCGAUAAGUCUCUAAUUGGCUUUAAUCAAACUGCAUAUAGAUAUAGUUCAUACUAACACAGUUGUUACCCUGGUAGUCUAAAGCCUAAUUUUGCUACUCCUAAAUGCAAAUGUGAGUGGCGUUUGGGUAUAAAAAAAUGCAGAGAAAGAUGUUUGUUUUAAAAUGUUAAAGGGAUACUAAACUUAUAUUUUUUUUUCCAUUCAGAUGGAGCAUGCAACUUUCUAAUUUAACUCCUAUUAAUUGUUCUUUGUUCUUUUGGUAUCUUUAUUUAAAUAAGCAGGAACGUAAUUUUAGGAGCUGGCCCAUUUUUGGUUAAGCACUGUGGGUAGCAAUUGGUGGCUACACUUGGCUACCAAUCAACAAUCACUACCCAGGGUGCCUAAACAAGAAUGGUCUGGCUCCUAAAAUUACAUUGCAUGCUCUAUCUGAAUCAUGAAAGGGGAAGAAAAGGUUUAGUAUCCCUUUAAGACUGGCUGAUUAUGUUACAAGGCAUUUACUGUCCCUUUGUGUUGCAGUGCUUUAUUACCUCAUUCUUUAUCUAUUUAUUUAAUAAUUUUAGUUUAAUUUGGAGGGGUUGUUUUUGUUUUUAAAUGCCUGGGAAUGAUGACAUAAAAGGCCGAAUUGCAGUGCUUUUCUGAGCAGUCUAUUCUCUACAGGAAGGCAUAAUGACAAAUCCCCUUGAAGCGAAAACACAACUGACCCUGGCAUCUUGUCUUAUUUUGAGUGAUAGUGUGGGAAAUAAAUCUGCAGAAACCUCACCAACUAGUGUGGAGACUUCUUUUUAAACCAGUCGUAUAUGUGCGUUUUUGUUACUUAGGCACAGAAUUUUAAACUGUUAAUCAGCUGUUAAGCCAAAUGGUUAUCUAAAACUUGUACAUAAUUUGUUUUUCAGGUACUACACGUUGCAGUACUUAAAAGGACGUUUAGCUGUUGGAUACAAUUACAAUAGCAUGGUUAGUUAUCAAUGCUAUGUUUCCUCCUGUGCGUGUAGCUGUCUUCAAAGCAGUUCUCCCAUUUUUAACAAUUUAAAGUUAUAGUUGCUUACUCUUCAUACUGGGGCCAUCUUGGAACCUCUUUUCUUGCAGCAGUGCAUGACAUGUGACUAUCCAGCUACAGUGUAGUAACAGUCACGUUUGACUGUGUAUAUAUACAAUCACUUAUGCUUGUAUGCUCACUUGAUGCACACAAUUUUUUAUUUUCCAGCACUCCAAAUAUACACUUUAGUGUAAUUUUGUCAAGGCAAAUGUUACCAUUAAAACAGUAAUUCCAUCGCUAUAGUAUUUGGUUUGUUUGCUAUUAAUUACUUUGAAACCUAGACUUGAGGUGUUCCUAAAUCAUAACAUAAUGAAUAUAGUUUGAGAUUCUUUCUAUACUAUUUUUCUUCAUUCUUAGUUUCUUUAUUUGAAAAAGCAGGAACAUAAGCUUAGGAGCCAGCCCACCUUCUUGUUGGCUACAUUUUAGCUACCAAUCAGCAUUCGCUACCCGGGUGCUGAACUAAAGAUGGGCUGGCUCCUAAGCUUAAAUUCCUGCUUUUUCAAAUAAAGAUACCAAGAGAAUGCUGAAAAUUGAUAAUAGGAGUAAAUUAGAAAGUUGCUUAAAAAUGCUCGCUCUAUCUGAAUCAUGAGGAAAAAAUGGGUUCAGUAUCCCUUUAAGAGGUUAAACAUUGUAGGCCAGUUUUGAAGAGAGCUGCAGCAAAGGAGGAAAAAUAGCAUGUUGUCUAGUGACCAUGCUGUUAUAGUUGUGAUUAGCAGUUUAAUGUCUCUUUAAACAGAUCUAAAUUGUUACAAUUUUGGAGCGGCAAUUCUCAAGAGGAGUAAGCGUCUGCAGGACUUGCUUUGACUUGUGCAGUGGACCAAAAUAUAUUCUCCAAUGGGCCUUGUUUCUUGGUAUAAGACUGGCUGUCCAACUAUUUCAUUUGUUUCAAACUGGUUUUAUGUGAAUUUAAGUUGUUUGUUUUUUUGUUUUGUUUUUUUAUAAAUAAAAUUCUAUUAAUCUACUGAA